CUGCAACCUGAUUGGCUGGUUUUAAGUACUCCAGGUGUGACGUAGGAACCAUCAUGUUCAUUUGCUUCUGUGCCCCUCUUGAGAGUUGAAUUAUCUGUCAGAUCAACUAUUGAGAACAUGGAUACUUAGAAGAGAAAAGCAAGGAUUUCACAAAGUUGCAACAAAAAUACAGCAACAUCUCUAAUAAACCUCUGGAGAAUCUGAACACUGCCUUGAAUUUGAGCAGCUCAAAUUGUAUGGUUGGGAGAAAGCAGUGGCCACAAUCUGAGAUGGAGAGGGCAGUGGAGGGCAAGGAUGGUAACCAAAUCUCCCUCUCCGCUGAGGACAGAUUGAAGACAUCUAGCUUUGCUGAUCUGGAACCAAAUUAGCCUUUGCACAAGGCAAAAGUGAAGGGCCAAGUCUCAGGAAACAUAGAUACCAUGCAGUGGGGCAGAAAGGGGACAAGAUACUUCCCUUCUAUGAAAUAUCUAUCAGCAUUCUAAAUAUGAAAGAAAAAUAACUGCUAUUUCUUCUUAAUAUUUUCUUAUGGUAUCCUAACAUAUUAUCACUAAUAUCUGCUACAUUUUUAAUCAGAAUAAAAUACCUAUGUGGGUGAAUAUUUUAAUGAUCCUCUGCCUCCCCUCGGUGUGUGGAGGAAUUGGAACAUUAACCCUUUUGGCCACAGUGGAAAUUCAUUGCUUUGACCUUUCCUCAGACCCACGGGGCACCUAAGCUUUGAAAUUCUGAAGUUCUUGUGAAUUGACCCCAAAGUUCAUUCCCAUCCUGGAGGCAGAUUCAAUGAUAGAUCUGAGAAAGAAUAAAUAUCUCACAAACUGAAAGAAGGGCUACACACCUGCUGCCUGGAAGUAGAGAGAGUUUGUGUUGUUGCUUUUUAUAAUCAUUAGAAAACCUUCCAGGAGAUCAAAAAUAAGUGAUCAACAACACCAGCAGAAAAUAAUAAUAAUUUUUAGAAAUUGAAGGAUAAUUUACUUUCCUGUCAUCAAAGAAGAAAUGAAAAAAAAAAAAAAACCAAAACACUGUUUCCUCUCAUCUCAGCAUCAGCCGCACAUCAACUGUGACUGUGAAUCAGGAGUUGGACCUGGUGCACUGAGAUCCACACCAGUGGGGCUGUUUCUGCCACCCAGGCAUAAAUUGUGGACAGAUUAGCUGUUGUCACCAAGAGACUCCUGGCUUCUGUCAGCUUCUCUCCCAGCCAUUAUGCUAUUAAAAACAGGGGGUGUUUUGCAUAUU
Non-coding RNA from Ictidomys tridecemlineatus (thirteen-lined ground squirrel), 1230 nucleotides. The record is from RefSeq and is a predicted model, not a curated record. NCBI's taxonomy places the organism in Eukaryota, Metazoa, Chordata, Mammalia, Rodentia, Sciuridae.